UACGGAGGAUGCGAGCGUUAUCCGGAUUUAUUGGGUUUAAAGGGUGCGCAGGCGGGUUCUUAAGUCAGUGGUGAAAUCUAGGGGCUCAACCUCUAAACUGCCAUUGAAACUGGGUACCUUGAGUAUGGAUGAAGUAGGCGGAACUCGUUGUGUAGCGGUGAAAUGCAUAGAUAUAACGAAGAACCCCGAUUGCGUAGGCAGCUUACUAAACCAUAACUGACGCUCAAGCACGAAAGCGUGGGUAUCAAACAGG
This 253-nucleotide ribosomal RNA is filed under the name uncultured bacterium. RNAcentral's name for it is "partial 16S ribosomal RNA". It matches the Rfam family "Bacterial small subunit ribosomal RNA", at positions 524 to 776 of the family's 1533-position model. The record is from RNAcentral.